UACGUAGGGUGCAAGCGUUGUCCGGAAUUAUUGGGCGUAAAGAGCUCGUAGGCGGCUUGUCACGUCUGCUGUGAAAACUCGGGGCUCAACCCCGAGCCUGCAGUGGAUACGGGCUAGCUAGAGUGCGGUAGGGGAGACUGGAAUUCCUGGUGUAGCGGUGAAAUGCGCAGAUAUCAGGAGGAACACCGGUGGCGAAGGCGGGUCUCUGGGCCGAUACUGACGCUGAGGAGCGAAAGCAUGGGUAGCGAACAGG
This 253-nucleotide ribosomal RNA is filed under the name uncultured bacterium. Its description in RNAcentral is "partial 16S ribosomal RNA". It matches the Rfam family "Bacterial small subunit ribosomal RNA", at positions 524 to 776 of the family's 1533-position model. The record is from RNAcentral.